This is a non-coding RNA of Notothenia coriiceps (black rockcod), 517 nucleotides long. The record is from the annotation of a RefSeq genome assembly. Lineage: Eukaryota; Metazoa; Chordata; Actinopteri; Perciformes; Nototheniidae.
AGGACAACAUGCCAACAUUACUCUUUCUAUCAUCGAUCAUUGGUCUUUGUCUGGGUGUUGAGGUGACGCAGACCCCUGCAGAGCUCCUGAUGAGUCCAGGAGACAAGGUGCAGCUGGUCUGCAGCCAUGAGAAGACCGACUACACGUUAAUGCAGUGGUACCAACAACCCCCCGGAGAGAGAGCUCUGAAACGCAUCGGACACUUGAACUACGACAGCAAGGAAUACGAGGAGCCUUUCAAAGAACAUUUUAAAAUGUCUGGAGACCUGACUGGAGGCAAAGCGAAGAACGCGUCCCUGUUCAUAGACACGCUGAAGGCAGAGGAGCACAGUGCCGUGUAUUUCUGCGCUGCUAGCUUCGCACACUGACUGCAGAGACCCCCUGCUCACACAAAAACGAUAUACCGUUACUGUUGGGAGUCAUUCAAGUAAGAGCCAGAAUCAAUACAAUAAACAUGUUAUUUUAGCACAUUUCUAUUUCUAAGCUGUAUUUCAUUUAAUUUUGUAUUGCAAUGUUA